UCAAUCAUAUGUCAGAUUUUUAAAAACCAUGACUUCAUCCUCUCGUUUACAGGAAUUGCAAUGAAAUCACAACAGAGCUGUUUCAUUAUAACAUUCUGCCACCACAGUGCAAAGCAUAGCAGAGGAAGGACAACAAUUCUUUUUCAUCUCUAGUGUCCCCACGUCCAUCCCACAUUUCCCGGCUCCUCAGCACGUAGCCAGAGGUCCCGCAGUGCGAGCGGCAGCACGUGCUGAACAAUGCUGAAUGAUGUGUGCUGGUGUGCACA
Long non-coding RNA from Oxyura jamaicensis (ruddy duck), 266 nucleotides. RefSeq lists it as uncharacterized. Lineage: Eukaryota; Metazoa; Chordata; Aves; Anseriformes; Anatidae. The transcript is spliced from 3 exons. The record is from RefSeq and is a predicted model, not a curated record.